GGUCUUGGACUGAAUAAGAAAGUUCAGUUAAGAAUGAGCCAGCAUGCAGCAUUCUUCCAUGGUUUCUGGUUCAAGCUUCUGGUUCAGUUCCUGCCCUAAUUCUCCUCUGUGAUGAACUGUGAGCCGGAAGUGUAAGCCAAGAAGCCCCUUCCUGCUUUUGGUCGGAGUGUUUUAUCAUAGCAACGGGGGAUUCCUGUUUCCUGUCUGUGCGUUUCCAUGCGGUUGUCUCUGUCCUCCCCAUUGCACGAAGCAAAAAUACCGGUCCGAAGAAGAGACCGAGACACAAGAAAGACCUUCUGAGGAGCCCGGCCAGCUGUGUUCUGCAUGACCGAAUCUGACACCUCUCACUUCCUCCACAAGCGGAACUUGGUGUUUGGAUGACGCUCGAGACAGGUCGUUUGUGCAAAACAGCAAACCCCACCUUCGGUUUUUCAACCCCAACCCAAGACCUAAAAAAAGAAAAGAAACAAAAGAAGAGCAAUGUGUCAUAGGAGCUGGGCUUCGGGCACAGACCUCUCCAGAGCGCCCGUGGAGGGAGGACUCCUUCGACCCAUGACCCUGUCUAUGUGACUUGGAAUCUCCUUAGCACCUCUGAGGUCCUGGUUCUUCAGGCUUGAAGGGUCAAUGUCAUGCCUCUUUCUGUGACAAACACUGGAGCAGUACCCAGCAGAUAAUGGUGAACUUGUCUCUUCCUGAGUGCCCAGGAUGAUGUAGCCACUGGCUCUGUUGCAGGGCAGGAAAACCCCCCACAGGACAGAUUGGCCAAUGGCUUGUGCUCUCUCCCACUCUUCGAAGUUUCUGCCAAGAAAGACUGUUGCAGCCUUUGCUGACACCUGGGCUGCGUUUCCUCACAGUGAGGCUGGCUCA
Long non-coding RNA from Mus pahari (shrew mouse), 867 nucleotides. RefSeq lists it as uncharacterized. The record is from RefSeq and is a predicted model, not a curated record. Lineage: Eukaryota; Metazoa; Chordata; Mammalia; Rodentia; Muridae. The transcript is spliced from 3 exons.